This 71-nucleotide transfer RNA is filed under the name Bacillus phage vB_BcoS-136. It matches the Rfam family "tRNA". Rfam says of the family: Transfer RNA (tRNA) molecules are approximately 80 nucleotides in length. Their secondary structure includes four short double-helical elements and three loops (D, anti-codon, and T loops). Lineage: Duplodnaviria; Heunggongvirae; Uroviricota; Caudoviricetes. The record is from Rfam by way of RNAcentral.
GCGGGAUUAGUAUAGCGGUAGUAUCUUUGGCUUCCACCCAAAGGGCAGGGGUUCGAAUCCCCUAUCUCGCU